This is an RNA transcript of Glycine soja, 3418 nucleotides long. It is a transcript of the gene named guanylate kinase 1-like, with no coding region annotated. The transcript is spliced from 11 exons. The record is from RefSeq and is a predicted model, not a curated record. NCBI's taxonomy places the organism in Eukaryota, Viridiplantae, Streptophyta, Magnoliopsida, Fabales, Fabaceae.
UGCUUUUCCGCCUACAAAUAUGAGAAAACCUUCCUCACAGUUUCUUCCAACUUCAUCUUCCUCUUCUCUCAUUUUUUACAUCACCCUUCCUUUGUUUCCAUCAUUUCGUGAUAACAACAACACCCUCUCGCCUCCAACACACACCUCUUUUUUUUCUUUUUCUUUUAAGGUUGUUAACUGCUUCCCUUUUCCGAGGUUUAUUUAAGGUUGUCGGUCUCGACCUGUUCCAGAUUUCGGAUUUUGUCGCAUUGCGAUCUGGUUUUUGUUCUGUUUGAUCCACUUCUUCGGCUUUGCUUCAUCUCCUUCUCUGGGUCUUCUAAAUUUUUGUUUUUUUAUUUGUUUGAAUUUUCAAGUUCGGUUUUUUAAACCUGCUGGAAAUUCUGAACGGUUUUUGCUUUUAAAAAAUAUUAAAUUUUUUUGUGGUCCAAAUUUUCAUGGUCAGGGAUCAGGAAGAGAUAAAUUAAAAACAAACAAAAAAAAACAAAAAAACUAGGAGUGGUGAAUUCCCGUCAUGUUUUUCUUUGGGUCCUGUUUUUCUGGAAGUUGAUGAAAUCGGGGCUUGUCUCUAUUUAAAUUUCAUUGGGAUAUUUUGCUGUUGUUUUUUUUUAUCUUCCAACCUGUAAUGUGUUCUAAUUUCAAUGGAGCUUCUGCACUCUAUUUUCUUUACAUGGAAGUUUGCAUAUAUUGUUAGAUCCCUUGGGAAUUUACAUGAUAUUCAUCUCUAUUUAUGUUUUUUUUUGGUUCAGGGUUUAGCUUAAACCAGGAUUUUGGGCACCGAUUUCUCUAUGGGAGAAGCACCAGCAUUGCUUGUUGAUGACGUGCAGGAUGGGGCUCUGAAUGGCCUUGAAUUGAAAAACGUAACUUGCAAAACAACUGCUACAGUUGGCGAUAAGGCGUAUGUCAUUGGUGGAGCUGAUGAUGGAACUUUGUCCAUUGAAGUUCAAAUUUUUGACCGUAGUCUUGGAGAAUGGGUUCGUCCCACUGUGCGGGGCACCAAACCUGUGUCGUGCAAUGGCCUCUCAGCUGUGCCUUUGGAAGACCGAAUACUGAUUCUUAAGAAGGGUUCUAAGCCAGAUGAUCAAAUAUGGUUCCUGGAGAUUGACACCCAAUAUGUUAGGCAGCAGCAAAAAAUUUUGGGGUCUGAGGUGGUUGCAUGGAGUAAAGGUGUGAUAGGCAAUGCUGAGAAGCCUGUUGUUAUUAGUGGUCCUUCUGGAGUAGGCAAAGGAACACUGAUAUCAAUGCUUAUGAAGGAAUUUCCAUCCAUGUUUGGUUUUUCUGUGAGCCACACCACCCGUGCUCCAAGAGGUAUGGAGAAAGACGGGGUCCAUUACCAUUUUACUGAGAAGAGUAUAAUGGAGAAAGAAAUCAAAGAGGGAAAGUUUCUUGAGUUUGCUUCCGUCCAUGGUAAUCUGUAUGGAACAAGUGUUGAGGCUGUCGAACUGGUAGCAGAUGCAGGGAAAAGAUGUAUUCUUGAUAUUGACGUUCAAGGUGCAAGAUCUGUGAGGGCCAGUUCUCUUGAAGCCAUAUUCAUCUUUAUCUGUCCUCCAUCAAUGGAGGAGCUGGAGAAGCGCCUUCGUGACCGAGGGACAGAGACCGAGGAACAGAUCCUUAAGCGACUACGUAAUGCUGAGGCUGAGAUUGAGCAAGGGAAAUCUUCUCAAGUAUUUGAUUUCAUCCUAUACAAUGAAAAACUUGAGGAGUGUUAUGAGAGACUUAAGAAACUAUUGGGACUUGACGGUUUCAUCACUGCUCCACCUAAAUCCGGACCUAUAGAGAUUGAUUUACCAAUGGACCAUUCAGUGUCCAAAAUUGAUAACAAAAUCAUCAUAAACUGCAUCUCCUCAGGAGAAAAGGAAUCCAAGAAUUUGAUCAUUUUGGAUGUUUCCUCACUAAAAGGGGGUGUACCUGGACGGACAAGAGGCCUAAAUUUCCAAGCCAUUGGCUCGUUCUCAAAUGGCUUGAAUGGGAUAGAUCAACUUAGCUAACAUUCAAUGAACUUGGCCAACUAACUUGGUAUUGAAGAAAUGGGACACAUUGAUAAGGCAUUGGAUUCACGUCUUAAACAUUUUUUGUAGGUUUAAUUAUACAAUUGGUUCCUUAAUUAUAAUUAAAAGUUCAAUUUGGUGUCUCAAUUAUUAAAAAAUUUAAUAUGGUCCCUCAAUUACUAAAAAGUUAGGUUCUCUAAUUAUUUGAAAACACUAUAAUCAUACCCUUUUUGUCAGUUACACUAGUUUGAUUGAUGUGUUUGUAAACUAACAGCAAGGUUACAAUUAUAGUGUUUUUAAAAAAUUAAAAGUCUUGAUUGAACUUUUUAAUAAUUAAGGGACCUAAUUGAACUUUUAAUUCUAAUUAAAGGAUCAAUUGUAUAAUUAUUAUUUUUUUUUACCCUCGUGGCGUUCUUUGAUUGUUAUGACUAUUGAAUUGACUUGAGAGUUGGCAAUCGCUCCAUUAUUAUUCCCUACACAGGCAAUGAGAUUAUGUUAUUGUGUGCAAAGGAAGGCAAACUAUGGUGUACGUUUCUCUAUUCCCCCACCCUAAGAUCUGUUGUAUGAAGGGGGCCUACAAAAUGAAUACUUCAAAUUCAAAGAUGAAGGAUGAUGUUUUUGAGCCAUAACAUUAUACCGAAGUGUCAUUCCUAAUGAAGAAGGAUCAAAUAAAACUUAGUCGUACGCCACAGAGAUAGGAUGUUGUGAUGUAGCCAAUUUAUGGAAUCGUAUGAUGUCUACCAUUUAAAAGGAAAAGAAAAAAACGUUUUCUUCAUGUGUCUAGUAGCCUAAAGGUUUGGCUGGCUGUGUAGAUAUUUCGGAAUAAGUGGACAAGGGAUGCAAAUUAUACUUUCAGAAAUUCUUUCGAAAUAUGUAGUUUUGAAGUUUCAACACAUGAUUAGAGCAUGACAAAACCCAAACCAAACUAUGCUAUGAAUAUAUUAGAUCAAGCCAUGUCUUCCAGGAUUUUCAAAGUCUACUAGAACUACUUCAGGUCAAAGACAAGCGACAGGUUGGCCUAAAGCAAAGGUGGAAGAGAUGUAGAAAGUUUGUGUUUUGAUUACCAUCCAUAUAGCUUGGAUGCACGUCAGUGAAGCAACCAACUAUUAAUUAUUUGGGGUCCAUUUUGACUUGAUAAUUCCUAGAAGUGGAGUAGGGAUGGUAAUUCAAAUACAGUAUGUAUUUGGUACUCUACUUGAUGGGAUAAUUACAAGACUCGAUUUGGGUUAAGAAGUACCUAAAUGCAACUAUGGAGUAAACUUUUACCUAUGUCACUAUGUGAAUUUUUCCAAUAUUAGACUUCAUGAGAGCUUUGGGUGGCCCUCCACCUAAUUUGAGAACAACCCUUCUGGAUUUUUCAAUAUUUAGACUCAUGAUGGAGUGAGCCUUUGUUAUUUGUUUCAUAACAAUAAUAUCAUUAUGUUUAUACUUUA